This 497-nucleotide ribosomal RNA is filed under the name uncultured bacterium. RNAcentral's name for it is "partial 16S ribosomal RNA". It matches the Rfam family "Bacterial small subunit ribosomal RNA", at positions 28 to 507 of the family's 1533-position model. The record is from RNAcentral.
GACGAACGCUGGCGGCGUGCCUAAUACAUGCAAGUAGAACGCUGAAGAGAGGAGCUUGCUCUUCUUGGAUGAGUUGCGAACGGGUGAGUAACGCGUAGGUAACCUGCCUUGUAGCGGGGGAUAACUAUUGGAAACGAUAGCUAAUACCGCAUAACAAUGGAAGACACAUGUCAUUUAUUUGAAAGGGGCAAUUGCUCCACUACAAGAUGGACCUGCGUUGUAUUAGCUAGUAGGUGAGGUAACGGCCCACCUAGGCGACGGUACAUAGCCGACCUGAGAGGGUGAUCGGCCACACUGGGACUGAGACACGGCCCAGACUCCUACGGGAGGCAGCAGUAGGGAAUCUUCGGCAAUGGGGGCAACCCUGACCGAGCAACGCCGCGUGAGUGAAGAAGGUUUUCGGAUCGUAAAGAUCUGUUGUAAGUCAAGAACGAGUGUGAGAGUGGAAAGUUCACACUGUGACGGUAGCUUACCAGAAAGGGACGGCUAACUACGUG